UACGGGGGGGGCAAGCGUUGUUCGGAAUUACUGGGCGUAAAGCGCGCGUAGGCGGCUUUGCAAGCCGGAUGUGAAAUCCCCGGGCUUAACCUGGGAACUGCAUUCGGGACUGCAUUGCUAGAGUAUGGGAGAGGGAAGUGGAAUUUCCGGUGUAGCGGUGAAAUGCGUAGAUAUCGGAAGGAACAUCAGUGGCGAAAGCGACUUCCUGGACCAAUACUGACGCUCAUGUGCGAAAGCGUGGGGAGCAAACAGG
This 253-nucleotide ribosomal RNA is filed under the name uncultured bacterium. RNAcentral's name for it is "partial 16S ribosomal RNA". It matches the Rfam family "Bacterial small subunit ribosomal RNA", at positions 524 to 776 of the family's 1533-position model. The record is from RNAcentral.